GUCCGCACGGUAACGAUGGAUGCCCGCUGUUGGUCUGAACAGGUCAGCGGCCAAGCGAAAGCAUUAAGCAUCCCACCUGGGAGUACGCCGGCAACGGUGAAACUCAAAGGAAUUGACGGGGCCCGCACAAGCGGAGGAACAUGUGGUUUAAUUCGAUGAUACGCGAGGAACCUUACCCGGGCUUGAAUUGCAGAGGAAGGAUUUGGAGACAAUGACGCCCUUCGGGUCGUCUGUGAAGGUGCUGCAUGGUUGUCGU
This 256-nucleotide ribosomal RNA is filed under the name uncultured bacterium. Its description in RNAcentral is "partial 16S ribosomal RNA". It matches the Rfam family "Bacterial small subunit ribosomal RNA", at positions 793 to 1055 of the family's 1533-position model. The record is from RNAcentral.